Danio rerio (zebrafish) is the source of this 257-nucleotide non-coding RNA. NCBI's taxonomy places the organism in Eukaryota, Metazoa, Chordata, Actinopteri, Cypriniformes, Danionidae. The record is from RefSeq and is a predicted model, not a curated record.
CUCCACCGGAUCAGGUCUCACAAGAGGACUCUGCUGUGAAGUCUACAGCAGAUGAUGGGACCUGCUUGGACAAUAAUGACAUCAGCUGCCGCUACAAACUCGGAAAGCAGCUUGGUGAAGGAGGUUUCGGCUCCGUGUAUGAGGGGAUUCGCAUACAGGAUGGUCUGCAGGUGGCAGUUAAAUUUGUCCAGAAGACCCCAAAUAUGCAAGAUGUCAGCUCUUCAUGUGACCAGCCACUUCCUCUAGAGAUCACCUUG